Molecule: ribosomal RNA, 254 nt
Filed under: uncultured bacterium
Lineage: Bacteria
Description: partial 16S ribosomal RNA
Rfam family: Bacterial small subunit ribosomal RNA
Source: RNAcentral
UACGGGGGGGGCAAGCGUUGUUCGGAAUUACUGGGCGUAAAGGGCGCGUAGGCGGUCGUGACAAGUCACUUGUGAAAUCUCCGGGCUUAACUCGGAGCGGUCAAGUGAUACUGUCGGACUAGAGUACAGAAGGGGCAACUGGAAUUCUCGGUGUAGCGGUGAAAUGCGUAGAUAUCGAGAGGAACACCUGCGGCGAAGGCGGGUUGCUGGGCUGAUACUGACGCUGAGGCGCGAAAGCCAGGGGAGCGAACGGG